Molecule: non-coding RNA, 444 nt
Organism: Pogona vitticeps (central bearded dragon)
Lineage: Eukaryota; Metazoa; Chordata; Lepidosauria; Squamata; Agamidae
Source: RefSeq, a predicted model, not a curated record
CAAAGAUGCUCAGGGGAGUCGCCUGCUUCAUUCUUAGCUGCAGCACUUUGUGGAGAGGAUCUAUAACUUCUUUGCUGCAAAUGCUUCAUGAAAGAUCUUCAGACAGGUAACCAGAACAAAGAGACCCCUGCCUUGGGCAGGCGCUGUCAGGUGGGGGUUCACAGACACACUUCUGAGGACCCAACACCUUCCCAAGCGGCCUGCACCUUUGCACUGGUACUGCAAUUCUCGAUCUGCCUUGAGACAGAAGUGCAGCAGCCAUGCUCCGGGAAAAAGAAAAGAAGAAGAAAAGAACACACACACACACAGGGAUAUACUUGAAACACGUCCAAAUUAUUUGGAGCCCUGCCCAGUUGGCUGCAUGUCAGAAUCACCCCCUCUCUUAACCUUAAAUGGAAAGUAAGCGUGGCCCUUUCUUCCCCCGCCAAGAGACCCAUGAUUGCU